UGGGGAAUAUUGCACAAUGGGCGCAAGCCUGAUGCAGCCAUGCCGCGUGUAUGAAGAAGGCCUUCGGGUUGUAAAGUACUUUCAGCGAGGAGGAAGGCGUUGUGGUUAAUAACCGCAACGAUUGACGUUACUCGCAGAAGAAGCACCGGCUAACUCCGUGCCAGCAGCCGCGGUAAUACGGAGGGUACAAGCGUUAAUCGGAAUUACUGGGCGUAAAGCGCACGCAGGCGGUCUGUCAAGUCGGAUGUGAAAUCCCCGGGCUCAACCUGGGAACUGCAUCCGAAACUGGCAGGCUAGAGUCUUGUAGAGGGGGGUAGAAUUCCAGGUGUAGCGGUGAAAUGCGUAGAGAUCUGGAGGAAUACCGGUGGCGAAGGCGGCCCCCUGGACAAAGACUGACGCUCAGGUGCGAAAGCGUGGGGAGCAAACA
Molecule: ribosomal RNA, 427 nt
Filed under: uncultured bacterium
Lineage: Bacteria
Description: partial 16S ribosomal RNA
Rfam family: Bacterial small subunit ribosomal RNA
Source: RNAcentral